UACGAAGGGGGCUAGCGUUGCUCGGAAUUACUGGGCGUAAAGGGCGCGUAGGCGGCUCUGUGAGUCAGGCGUGAAAUUCCUGGGCUUAACCUGGGGGACUGCGCUUGAUACUGCGGGGCUUGAGGCCGAGAGAGGGUGGUGGAAUUCCCAGUGUAGAGGUGAAAUUCGUAGAUAUUGGGAAGAACACCGGUGGCGAAGGCGACCACCUGGCUCGGUACUGACGCUGAGGCGCGACAGCGUGGGGGAGCAAACAGG
This 255-nucleotide ribosomal RNA is filed under the name uncultured bacterium. RNAcentral describes it as "partial 16S ribosomal RNA". It matches the Rfam family "Bacterial small subunit ribosomal RNA", at positions 524 to 776 of the family's 1533-position model. The record is from RNAcentral.